ACGAACGCUGGCGGCGUGCCUAAUACAUGCAAGUAGAACGCUGAAGAGAGGAGCUUGCUCUUCUUGGAUGAGUUGCGAACGGGUGAGUAACGCGUAGGUAACCUGCCUUGUAGCGGGGGAUAACUAUUGGAAACGAUAGCUAAUACCGCAUAACAAUGGAUGACACAUGUCAUUUAUUUGAAAGGGGCAAUUGCUCCACUACAAGAUGGACCUGCGUUGUAUUAGCUAGUAGGUGAGGUAAUGGCUCACCUAGGCGACGAUACAUAGCCGACCUGAGAGGGUGAUCGGCCACACUGGGACUGAGACACGGCCCAGACUCCUACGGGAGGCAGCAGUAGGGAAUCUUCGGCAAUGGGGGCAACCCUGACCGAGCAACGCCGCGUGAGUGAAGAAGGUUUUCGGAUCGUAAAGCUCUGUUGUAAGUCAAGAACGGGUGCGAGAGUGGAAAGUUCACACUGUGACGGUAGCUUACCAGAAAGGGACGGCUAACUACGUG
RNAcentral lists this ribosomal RNA (496 nucleotides) under uncultured Streptococcus sp. RNAcentral's name for it is "bacterial SSU rRNA". It matches the Rfam family "Bacterial small subunit ribosomal RNA", at positions 29 to 507 of the family's 1533-position model. The record is from RNAcentral. Lineage: Bacteria; Bacillati; Bacillota; Bacilli; Lactobacillales; Streptococcaceae.